This 262-nucleotide ribosomal RNA is filed under the name uncultured bacterium. Its description in RNAcentral is "partial 16S ribosomal RNA". It matches the Rfam family "Bacterial small subunit ribosomal RNA", at positions 524 to 778 of the family's 1533-position model. The record is from RNAcentral.
UACGUAGGGUGCGAGCGUUUGUCCGGAUUUAUUGGGCGUAAAGAGCUCGUAGGCGGCUCGUCGCGUCGACCGUGAAAACCCCGCGGCUUAACUGCGGGCUUGCGGUUGAUACGGGCGGGCUAGAGUUCGGUAGGGGAGACUGGAAUUCCUGGUGUAGCGGUGAAAUGCGCAGAUAUCAGGAAGAACACCCCAUGGCGAAGGCAGCUCUCUGGGGCCGGGUACUGACGCUGAGACGCGAAAAGCGUGGGGGAGCGAACGGGGG